This 301-nucleotide ribosomal RNA is filed under the name uncultured bacterium. Its description in RNAcentral is "partial 16S ribosomal RNA". It matches the Rfam family "Bacterial small subunit ribosomal RNA", at positions 509 to 807 of the family's 1533-position model. The record is from RNAcentral.
CAGUCGCCGCGGUAAUACGUGGGUGGCAAGCGUUGUCCGGAAUUAUCGGGCGUAAAGGGCUCGCAGGCGGUUUCUUAAGUCUGAUGUGAAAGCCCCCGGCUCAACCGGGGAGGGCCAUUGGAAACUGGGAAACUUGAGUGCAGAAGAGGAGAGUGGAAUUCCAUGUGUAGCGGUGAAAUGCGUAGAGAUGUGGAGGAACACCAGUGGCGAAGGCGACUCUCUGGUCUGUAACUGACGCUGGGGAGCGAAAGCGUGGGGAGCAAAUGGGAUUAGAGACCCCCGUAGUCCCUGUCUCUUAUAC